GACGAACGCUGGCGGCGUGCUUAACACAUGCAAGUCGAACGGAAAGGCCCUGCUUUUGUGGGGUGCUCGAUUGGCGAACGGGUGAGUAACACGUGUGUAACCUGCCCUUGUCUUUGGGAUAACAUCAGGAAACUGGGGCUACUAUCGUAUAGGAUCUCCUGCUGCAUGGUGGGGGUUGGAAAGUUUCGGCGGUUGGGGAUGGACUCGCGGCUUAUCAGCUUGUUGGUGGGGUAGUGGCUUACCAAGGCUUUGACGGGUAGCCGGCCUGGGAGGGUGACCGGCCACAUUGGGACUGAGAUACGGACCAGACUCCUACGGGAGGCAGCAGUGGGGAAUAUUGCACAAUGGGCGGAAGCCUGAUGCAGCAACGCCGCGUGCGGGAUGACGGCCUUCGGGUUGUAAACCGCUGUCGCCUGUGACGAAGCGUGAGUGACGGUAAUGGGUAAAGAAGCACCGGCUAACUACGUG
RNAcentral lists this ribosomal RNA (468 nucleotides) under uncultured bacterium. RNAcentral describes it as "partial 16S ribosomal RNA". It matches the Rfam family "Bacterial small subunit ribosomal RNA", at positions 28 to 507 of the family's 1533-position model. The record is from RNAcentral.